GAGGUGGCAAGCGUUGUUCGGAAUUACUGGGCGUAAAGGGCGCGUAGGUGGCCUUCUUAGUCAGACGUGAAAUCCCCGGGCUUAACUCGGGAACUGCGUCUGAUACUGGAAGGCUCGAGUUCGGGAGAGGAACGUGGAAUUCCAGGUGUAGCGGUGAAAUGCGUAGAUAUCUGGAGGAACACCGGUGGCGAAGGCGGCAUUCUGGACCGAAACUGACACUGAUGCGCGAAAGCCAGGGGAGCAAACGGGAUUAGAUACCCCGGUAGUCCUGGCCCUAAACGAUGAGUGCUUGGUGUGGCGGGUAUCGAUCCCUGCCGUGCCGAAGCUAACGCAUUAAGCACUCCGCCUGGGGAGUACGGUCGCAAGGCUG
Molecule: ribosomal RNA, 370 nt
Filed under: uncultured organism
Description: bacterial SSU rRNA
Rfam family: Bacterial small subunit ribosomal RNA
Source: RNAcentral